GAACCUUACCUAGGCUCGAACGGCUUCGGACAAUCCUCAGAAAUGGGGACUUCCCGCAAGGGACCGGAGUCGAGGUGCUGCAUGGCUGUCGUCAGCUCGUGUCGUGAGAUGUUGGGUUAAGUCCCGCAACGAGCGCAACCCUUGUCCUGUGUUGCCAUACCUUUAUCAGUGGAACUCGCAGGAGACCGCCAGGGAUAACCUGGAGGAAGGUGGGGAUGACGUCAAGUCCUCAUGGCCUUUAUGUCUAGGGCUACACACGUGCUACAAUGGACGGUACAAAGGGUCGCCAACCCGCGAGGGGGAGCCAAUCCCAAAAAACCGUUCUCAGUUCGGAUUGCAGGCUGCAACUCGCCUGCAUGAAGCUGGAAUCGCUAGUAAUGCCGUAUCAGAACGAUGGCGUGAAUACGUUCCCGGGCCUUGUCACACCGA
Molecule: ribosomal RNA, 429 nt
Filed under: uncultured soil bacterium
Lineage: Bacteria
Description: bacterial SSU rRNA
Rfam family: Bacterial small subunit ribosomal RNA
Source: RNAcentral